UGCCAAAAAAUAGAAAAGUCA
This 21-nucleotide non-coding RNA is filed under the name Caenorhabditis elegans. The record is from RNAcentral. Lineage: Eukaryota; Metazoa; Nematoda; Chromadorea; Rhabditida; Rhabditidae.